This 218-nucleotide ribosomal RNA is filed under the name uncultured bacterium. RNAcentral's name for it is "partial 16S ribosomal RNA". It matches the Rfam family "Bacterial small subunit ribosomal RNA", at positions 118 to 336 of the family's 1533-position model. The record is from RNAcentral.
CGAGCAACCUGCCCUUGACUCUGGGAUAACAGUUGGAAACAGCUGCUAAUACUGGAUACGACCUCCGAUGGGCAUCAUCUGGAGAUGGAAAGCUCCGACGGUCAAGGAUGGGCUCGCGGCCUAUCAGCUUGUUGGUGAGGUAAUAGCUCAUCAAGGCGAUGACGGGUAGCCGGCCUGAGAGGGUGACCGGCCACACUGGGACUGAGACAGGCCCAACG